ACGUGAGUAACCUGCCCCUGACUUUGGGAUAACUCCGGGAAACCGGGGCUAAUACCGGAUAUGAGCUCCUGCCGCAUGGUGGGGGUUGGAAAGAUUUAUCGGUUGGGGAUGGGCUCGCGGCCUAUCAGCUUGUUGGUGGGGUGAUGGCCUACCAAGGCGACGACGGGUAGCCGGCCUGAGAGGGCGACCGGCCACACUGGGACUGAGACACGGCCCAGACUCCUACGGGAGGCAGCAGUGGGGAAUAUUGCGCAAUGGGGGAAACCCUGACGCAGCCAUGCCGCGUGUGUGAAGAAGGCC
Molecule: ribosomal RNA, 300 nt
Filed under: uncultured Promicromonosporaceae bacterium
Lineage: Bacteria; Bacillati; Actinomycetota; Actinomycetes; Micrococcales; Promicromonosporaceae
Description: bacterial SSU rRNA
Rfam family: Bacterial small subunit ribosomal RNA
Source: RNAcentral